Molecule: ribosomal RNA, 710 nt
Filed under: Roseovarius sp.
Lineage: Bacteria; Pseudomonadati; Pseudomonadota; Alphaproteobacteria; Rhodobacterales; Roseobacteraceae
Description: bacterial SSU rRNA
Rfam family: Bacterial small subunit ribosomal RNA
Source: RNAcentral
GGCGGGACUACACAUGCAGUCGAGCGAGAACUUCGGUUCUAGCGGCGGACGGGUUAGUAACGCGUGGGAACGUGCCCUUCACUACGGAAUAGUCCCGGGAAACUGGGUUUAAUACCGUAUACGCCCUUCGGGGGAAAGAAUUUCGGUGAAGGAUCGGCCCGCGUUAGAUUAGAUAGUUGGUGGGGUAACGGCCUACCAAGUCUACGAUCUAUAGCUGGUUUUAGAGGAUGAUCAGCAACACUGGGACUGAGACACGGCCCAGACUCCUACGGGAGGCAGCAGUGGGGAAUCUUAGACAAUGGGCGCAAGCCUGAUCUAGCCAUGCCGCGUGAGUGAUGAAGGCCUUAGGGUCGUAAAGCUCUUUCGCCAGGGAUGAUAAUGACAGUACCUGGUAAAGAAACCCCGGCUAACUCCGUGCCAGCAGCCGCGGUAAUACGGAGGGGGUUAGCGUUGUUCGGAAUUACUGGGCGUAAAGCGCGCGUAGGCGGAUUGGAAAGUUGGGGGUGAAAUCCCAGGGCUCAACCCUGGAACUGCCUCCAAAACUAUCAGUCUAGAGUUCGAGAGAGGUGAGUGGAACUCCGAGUGUAGAGGUGAAAUUCGUAGAUAUUCGGAAGAACACCAGUGGCGAAGGCGGCUCACUGGCUCGAUACUGACGCUGAGGUGCGAAAGUGUGGGGAGCAAACAGGAUUAGAUACCCUGGUAGUCCACAC